Molecule: ribosomal RNA, 498 nt
Filed under: uncultured bacterium
Lineage: Bacteria
Description: partial 16S ribosomal RNA
Rfam family: Bacterial small subunit ribosomal RNA
Source: RNAcentral
AUUGAACGCUGGCGGCAUGCCUUACACAUGCAAGUCGAACGGUAACAGGUCUUCGGAUGCUGACGAGUGGCGAACGGGUGAGUAAUACAUCGGAACGUGCCUAGUAGUGGGGGAUAACUACUCGAAAGAGUGGCUAAUACCGCAUGGGAUCUACGGAUGAAAGCAGGGGAUCGCAAGACCUUGUGCUACUAGAGCGGCCGAUGGCAGAUUAGGUAGUUGGUGGGAUAAAAGCUUACCAAGCCGACGAUCUGUAGCUGGUCUGAGAGGACGAUCAGCCACACUGGGACUGAGACACGGCCCAGACUCCUACGGGAGGCAGCAGUGGGGAAUUUUGGACAAUGGGCGAAAGCCUGAUCCAGCAAUGCCGCGUGCAGGAUGAAGGCCUUCGGGUUGUGAACUGCUUUUGUAGGGAACGAAAAGCCCCGGGUUAAUACCCUGGGGUCAUGACGGUACCGUAAGAAUAAGCACCGGCUAACUACGUGCCAGCCGCCGCAGUAA